RNAcentral lists this long non-coding RNA (1000 nucleotides) under Chloebia gouldiae (Gouldian finch). RNAcentral's name for it is "Erythrura gouldiae (Gouldian finch) lncRNA (ENSEGOG00005011229.1)". The record is from RNAcentral. Lineage: Eukaryota; Metazoa; Chordata; Aves; Passeriformes; Passeridae.
CCGAAACCCGGCGGCGGCGGCGCCGGCGCCUCGGCCGGCUCCUCUUCCUCCCUGUCGUCGUCCUCCUCCUCCUCGUCGUCGCGCGGCGCCUCCUCCUCGGAGAUGCGCGAGGCGAUCUGCAUCUCGAAGAUGGUGUCCUCGCAGAAGUUGACGAAGAGCUCCAUCUUCUCGGCCUCGCCGCCCUCGUUGACCACGUCGAAGAUGAACUGCCGCUUGGACUCCUUGACCUGCGGCAUCUCCCACUGCGCCUUGUUGGCGCCGCUGAUCUCGAAGUAGAUGCGCUCGAUGCGCCGCGCCGCCCCCAUGAUCUCGAUGCGGCCCAGGAACGGUCGGAAGUAGUCCAGGAUGCUCUCGGCCUGCUCCAGGAAGGUCUUGAGGCGCUGGUCGUGCGGCACGUGCUCCGACAGGUUGGUCAGCAGCACGGCCACGUUGAAGCCGAUGUCACGCGCCGGCUCCUGGAAGCGCUGGGCGAAGCUCUCCACGUCGAUCAUCUCGUUCUCGUCGGCCUCGGAGCAGGAGAGCAGGAACUGGAUCUCGUCGGGCUCGUACUGCUUCUGGCUGUCCAUGGCCUUCUGGAAGUCCUUCUUGGAGAUGAGCCCGCGCGGGUCGGUGACGAAGUGGCGGAAGGCGUCGGACGAGACGAUGUCGCGCAGCUUCAGGAACAUGUCGAAGAACUUGAGGAUCAUGGUCCAGCAGCUCCUUCAGCAGCCCCAGCUGGGACGAGUCCUGCGCACCAGAGCUCCCAGUUAGCUCCCAGUUACCUCCCAGUACCUCCCAGUACCUCCCAGUUACCUCCCAGUACCUCCCAGUACCUCCCAGCGCCCAACCAGCGCCCACCUGGGCCAACUUCUUCAUCAUGUGCGCGAAGACGUGCAGGAAGCCGACGACGGCGUCCCAGAGGCGGCUGUGGGCCAGGCUCUGCUGGUUCCCGGUACAGGGGCCCUGGGGGACACCGGAACACUGGGAGGGACCCCCGAGAGCCCCCCGGGGCAGGUUUGGG